UCAGCGGUGUGUCACCAAGGGGGAUACGUGCUGCCACCACCUUUGCUUCUUUUUAACAGGUGCACAGCAUAAAGACAGCCUGGCUACACGAACACCGCCUGCGUUUUGUUCAAGUCGCCUUGAUCCGUCUGCCAGGAGUUUGUCAACAAUGAAUGUGAAAGAGCAUCCGAUUCUCUUAAUAACGAGCUAAGGACCGACAUAAAGGAGGUGGAGAGAGAAAGAAGAUGAAUAUAAUCAUGCCAGCAAAUGAAUAUCUGUUACCAUCAAGUGUGACAAGGCGACAGGACGUGGACAUCGUGGCAGUUUGCGGCAAUACGAUCCCCCUACUCUCACACAAACACACAAAGGUGUAGGAAGAUGCUCGGCUUUCAGGUAGGUGAGGGAAACAACCUUCCUACUGACAGUGAACGAUGUUCAAAUUCUUCCCUCCUCAUAUCUUUUCUGAGGGGGUGGCUGCCUCACCUGGCUCAUAUGACACUGAAAAUGAGGAAAGGAGAAGAGUGAGCGAGCAACAGUCGCACAGAGCGAGUGAGUGAGAGAGCUGAAUGGCGGAUCGCACCACAACAUUUAUCUCCCACCUCUGUCAACCAUGUGCAAAACAAUCAGCAACAAUGAACAAUGAGAUAAAUACAACCGACAUGACAGCAGAUGGCCAAUGGAUCAACAUGGCGCUGCAAGUGUCGAGCAGGGCCGUCCCAUAACAAAGCUAUUUAAUAAUCGCCUGUGCUUUUCACUGCCAACAUUAACAACAGUUAAUUUUUUUAUAUAUAAACAAGUCUUAUAAGAUCCAUACGAACAUGCAUCACAUUAAGAAUUAAGGCCUGGGGUCGGGGAGACAGCCCACCAAAGGCAUUAAACAGCGCCGACAACGAAGCUUGAAGCCAUUGAAGUCAACCAUCUACUUGUCUGUCUACUUGUCUGUCUACUUUUACUGCCAAUCUGAUUCUAUUUGACUUACUGAAUGUCACAUGCUACACGAUCCACUUCGCAAACAGAAUAACAAGCAAAGGAAGUUAAUUCUUCUUGAGAAGCCCUGCACACACAGAGCUGAUGGACUCGGGUGAUCGGCAAAUGCCCUUUGAGAUAAGGUCUUCACUCCCUCGACAGGCGGACAAAGACAGGAUCAGGUUGCCACGUAGGCAAGGGGUAUUCUCGGGAUAUUAUUAGCAACGAAGGAAACAGCCUCAUAUCAGAUGAUCUAUCACCUUCUAGUUUUUUUUUCUCUUUUUUUUUGCACUUUACAGCAGAGAGAUUGUGUACUGCAUGGUGGACUUCACGCACGCACGCACACACACCCCGUGCCACGUAAGAAAAGAUUGUUGGAUGAUAGUGGAACAAACAUGGCAGUUUCUGGGUGAAGCCAUGCGAACAAUAGACAGGGUGAAAUUGUUCUUGCUACAAAAUCCUGUUUUGAAAUCCAGCGUUAUCUCCUGAAAUACUUUUGCUGACAAGGAUUCAACUCGACUUAUUUAAUUUGAUUCACCGACACCUCCACCAAGGACUUUUAAAAAAAUGUAAAACUGUUUCGUACUCUUGUUUAAUACCACUUGUCUUAAAUAAAUUGACAAAACGAUUUUUUAUGAAGAGGUUAGGCCCAUUUGCGAUGUCUAUUUUUGGUGCAUAAUGUUCCUAUUGUUAUACAGGUGGACACAGAAAUAUUUCCGGUAAUGAAAGUUUCCUUUUAAUGGUGUUUGCGGAGUUUUGACAGGGUUGUGGACUCAAGCUGAGAUGUUCGUUUGGACCCACAUUUCUUGUAUUUCUCAAACUACCAUUAAACAGCUUGUUUGGGGUGGUUUAUUAAUAUGGGGUGUCCUGUACCUUUUGAUGUUUAGGAUAUGUACUAUGGAGACCUCAGGCUGUGCGAAAUACUUUUUUUCCCCUUUUUUUCUUGCCAGUUAAAAAUCUUGUUGCCACAAGGCCUGGUGAACGAAGAUGUUAAAGUUCGAUAGAUGGUUGAUUCUGUUUUAAAGGCCAGUAUUUCUAGUAUUCUAUUGUUUAAUAUUGUAUUUUUACUUCCAUCUUUUACAAAGUUCAUGGUACGCGUGUUUAAUCUUGCCAUAACUUAUGAACUCAUGUCAACACUGAUAUACUUGUCAUGAAAUAACCAUCUUUCUUAGUAGACUUUAAUAGGAAGAAUUUUUUUUUAGCAUUUAUUUGAUUUUUUCAGAAACUUAUUCCCUCCGUUUGUAGAAAGCAUUUGGUAUUUCUACGCUGACACUUCUAACUCCAUUUUAUACCUGAGAGCUUUGAACAACCCUCAUUUUAGAAACGGAAGUCUUCCACAGACGACUAUAUAACAAUCAUUAAUUAUCUUUUCUUUGAUUUUAACCGUAACCAAUGUAACCGAUGCCAGAAAAAAGGUUGGUCGCAAAAGCGAAAUAAAUAUGACCGGAUGAAAUAGAACUCAAGCUAAAGUAUUAAUUUGUGCAAAUCUCAACAACUUCACGCAUAAAGAGAAACCAAAUACAAAUGAAAGCUGUACAUACGAGACUUUCCCAAACAGCUGUGGUGUCGAAAUGGACGUGACUGGAGGAUCUGACUGUCACAAUGUCCUUUUUUCUGAUAAUGAUAACGAAAGAGGGGGAAAGGUAACAGAUGCUUGAAGUAUGAACAUGCAAGGGACGCUAUCGUUUACCAAAGGGCCGUCACCGAUGGGGAUGGAGUCACACCAUGGCAAGCCAGCCCUGUAAACAGAUGCCACAUGCAGAAAAAAGAACAGCGUGCCCGAGACGAGAGCUGAACCCAGGUCCCGAUGUGAAGGGGGGAAAGAAUCGAUAAAAACUUGUUAUUUAAUCAGUUUGUACCUGAGACAGUCGCUAACAGGUGUUGUAUGCACUUUUUACAUGUAGAGCUCACAGAACACGUGCACGCACACAUGUACAACCCCCAAAAUACAGGGACUAACACGGAAAGAACAUCCGUUGGUACAUGGGACGACAGAUCUUUCCCGAAAACUUUUCUUGAACCACUUCAUCAGUUACAAGAACUGUAUAUCAUUACAAGAACUGUAUAUCAGUUACAUCAAGUCAGUGUGCUCACACAGCAGCGAGAUGUCAAACUGAAAGUCUGGUGAAACCUUUAGUAGACAAGAGAACAAAAUAAUUAUUCUCUUCUUUCUUCUUUCACUGUUCUACCUUUCUCAAUCACACAGUUCAUUUCGGCAUUUGUCUAUCUCAUAUGCAAAUGUAAAAUUUUUCUUGUAUCAAUCGCAUGCCUGUCAAUAACGUGUAUGUAGUCUGAAAAGUAAAUAAUACACACUUAAUCUUCAACGUGACCUCUAGUAUCAACACUUUACUUAACAUUACUAUUGGCUACAACUGUAAAUACAAUAAUAGUGUGUCUUACACCCUUUCCAGCUGCUUGUUGCAGCCAAAUAUACUUACGUAACACCAUUGUAGCGAAUGCACCCGGGAUGUAGAGAAAAGCGUUGUGAUUGUUCAGCAAAAUCUUUUGUUCACAGUGAGUAGUGAAGGCGCUGAAACCUGGGUAAUGUUCUUCUCUUCUGACAAAGGUGACAGAGAACUUUGUAUUUUGAUAUUAAAAAAUUCUCAGAAAAGUCAACUUGUUAUCUCCUGGAAGGGUUAGUUGGAAGUUCGUCGACAUGUACUCCUGUAGACCAUGAAAAACAAUGUCUUCUGUCGUCUGACUCUGACAAAACACAUCUACUGGCAUCGGUGAUGUCUAGCCAGGGGCAAAUGUCUGUAACCUCAGAGUUUAUGUGCAACCUCGCGGGUUAGACAACAGCUACCACAGGUAGGGAGUGAGAUGCUCCUUGAAAGUGAGAGGGUUGAGAAGGCCCGCAUCAGUUAAGGGGAAGAUGGUGUUGUGAAAUGGCUUUAGGAGAAAGGCCAUCGUUGAGCUUUGAGAAAAAAAAAAAAAAAAGAAACAAACAAGUGUCUGUAUAUACUCUUCAAAAAUAUUGGCACACAUUGUGCUUAUUUUCAAACCUUAAGUUUUGAACCUCAGCGCUGUAAGAAUGGGUAGUGAUUUUGUUUGUUUGUUUUUCAUUUUUGGUUUCUUUUUUAACGGGUAGCUGGGUACUUUAUAACAGCCGCAGUGCAGUAAUGAAGCGCAAAAUAAUGUUUCGGACCUAAUUUCGAGUUAUAUAUGGACAGUCAGACAUUUUCACUCCAGUGCAUACACGUCACAGGGAGGUUGCCAUGGCGUCCGCAGGAGCGACGGUUCGCUACCCGUGUGGCGCAGCGCAUGUCCACCCAACUGUUGAGAAUGGGUAUCUGAUUUUGAGGAGGAUUGUGGUAGGUAAGACAGCGAGGAAGAAGACCAUAAACACCCGACUUGAAAAAUAUCUGGCCUCUCUUAUAACACAUCGCUCUCCAACGACCAAAAGGUUAUGGGUGAAGCGACUUCUUGUGUCAC
This is a long non-coding RNA of Pomacea canaliculata, 4377 nucleotides long. RefSeq lists it as uncharacterized. Lineage: Eukaryota; Metazoa; Mollusca; Gastropoda; Architaenioglossa; Ampullariidae. The record is from RefSeq and is a predicted model, not a curated record. The transcript is spliced from 3 exons.